RNAcentral lists this ribosomal RNA (497 nucleotides) under uncultured bacterium. RNAcentral's name for it is "partial 16S ribosomal RNA". It matches the Rfam family "Bacterial small subunit ribosomal RNA", at positions 28 to 507 of the family's 1533-position model. The record is from RNAcentral.
GAUGAACGCUGGCGGCGUGCCUAAUACAUGCAAGUCGAGCGAACAGACGAGGAGCUUGCUCCUCUGACGUUAGCGGCGGACGGGUGAGUAACACGUGGAUAACCUACCCAUAAGACUGGCAUAACUUCGGGAAACCGGAGCUAAUACCGGAUAAUAUAUUGAACCGCAUGGUUCAUUAGUGAAAGACGGUUUUGCUGUCACUUAUAGAUGGAUCCGCGCCGCAUUAGCUAGUUGGUAAGGUAACGGCUUACCAAGGCAACGAUGCGUAGCCGACCUGAGAGGGUGAUCGGCCACACUGGAACUGAGACACGGUCCAGACUCCUACGGGAGGCAGCAGUAGGGAAUCUUCCGCAAUGGGCGAAAGCCUGACGGAGCAACGCCGCGUGAGUGAUGAAGGUCUUCGGAUCGUAAAACUCUGUUAUUAGGGAAGAACAAAUGUGUAAGUAACUAUGCACGUCUUGACGGUACCUAAUCAGAAAGCCACGGCUAACUACGUG